UUUAAUUUUGUUUUAUUCUGUUUUAAAUAUUUUCUUUGAAAGAUAGAAUUGUGCCGGAUACGGCCAAUUAAAACAAUGUUUUUCUCGGACAUAGGUUUGAACUGGUCCAAAAAAAUUGCGUAUACGCUCAUACCUAAUACAGUUAUCUAAAUUUCACUGAAAAAUGAUCAUGAAUAAGGCCCUGUUUGGAUGCAUAGUUAAAAAACUCCAUGGAAUUUUUAUUUUAUAGUUUUGGUCUAAAUGAAAUACGAAAUCUUGUAACUACAAAAAAAUUCCACAGCUCCAUUUUUAAGCUGUUUGGAUACAUAUCAUACAAUUCCACAGAAUUUAUAAUAAUUAAAUUUCUAAAAUUUUAAAAUUCAAAAUUCAAAAUUCAAAAUUCAAAAUUUAAAAUUCAAAUUUUAAAAAUAAAAUUUUAAAAAUUAAAAUUCAAAAUUCAAAAUAUAAAAUUAAAAUUUAAAAUUUAAAAUUUAAAAAUUAAAUUAGAUUUUCUGUUUUAAAUUUGAAAUUUGAAAUUUGGAAUUUGAAAUUUAAAAUUUGAAAUUUGAAACUUUAAAUAAUAAAAUGUAAAGUAUACCAUUUAAACUUUAAAUUUUGAAAUUUAAAAAAUCUAUAAUUAAAAUUUUAAAUUUUAAAUUUAAUAAUUUAUAAAUUUAAAAUUUAAAUUUUAAGUUUAAAUUUAAAUUUUGAAAAUAAAAAAUUAAAAAUUAAAAAUUAAAUUGAAAUUUGAAAUUUGAAAUUUGAAAUUUGAACUUUUUGAAAUUUGAAAUUUGAAAUUUGAAAUUUGAACUUUUUGAAAUUUGAAAUUUGAAAAUUGAAAUUUUAAAUUUUAAAAUUUUGAAAUUUGAAAUUUGAAAUUUGAAAUUUUUAAAAUUUGAAAUUUGAAAUUUGAACUUUUUGAAAUUUAAAAUUUAAAAUUUGAAAUCAAAAUUAAAAAUAAAUUUUAAAAUUUUAAAUUUUGAAAUUUAAAAUUUUAUGUUGAAAUUUAAAAUUUAGAAAUUGAUACAUCUUCGGGAGCCCAAAAUGGUGGAAUUUUUUUUCUUUGGUUAAAGUGGAUUGUAAGUUUACUCCAUUUUUUAGAAUAUAGUAUAACUAUACUCCAUCAUUUUUUUUUCUUCCAAACGCUUCAUAAAAUUAUUUUCCUAUCAGCGUAGCAUAGUUUAACUAUGCUACGUUUUUAGAGGUAUCCAAACGGGCCUAAGUGCCUACUGGUAUUGCACAAUUUACAAAGCUAUCCUCGUUGACUCAAAAAUAUCUGUAACAAAU
RNAcentral lists this long non-coding RNA (1266 nucleotides) under Ananas comosus (pineapple). RNAcentral's name for it is "long non-coding RNA (ACOM_LNC002833)". Lineage: Eukaryota; Viridiplantae; Streptophyta; Magnoliopsida; Poales; Bromeliaceae. The record is from RNAcentral.